CGUCAGGUAGCUCAGUGGUUUAGAGAAGUCGCUCGGCAAGCGAAAGACCCGGGUACGACCCCGGUCUAGCAA
RNAcentral lists this transfer RNA (72 nucleotides) under Harpegnathos saltator (Jerdon's jumping ant). It matches the Rfam family "tRNA". Rfam says of the family: Transfer RNA (tRNA) molecules are approximately 80 nucleotides in length. Their secondary structure includes four short double-helical elements and three loops (D, anti-codon, and T loops). Further hydrogen bonds mediate the characteristic L-shaped molecular structure. tRNAs have two regions of fundamental functional importance: the anti-codon, which is responsible for specific mRNA codon recognition, and the 3' end, to which the tRNAs corresponding amino acid is attached (by aminoacyl-tRNA synthetases). tRNAs cope with the degeneracy of the genetic code in two manners: having more than one tRNA (with a specific anti-codon) for a particular amino acid; and 'wobble' base-pairing, i.e. permitting non-standard base-pairing at the 3rd anti-codon position. The record is from Rfam by way of RNAcentral. Lineage: Eukaryota; Metazoa; Arthropoda; Insecta; Hymenoptera; Formicidae.